GACGAACCGUGCAAACGUUGUUCGGAAUCACUGGGCUUAAAGGGCGCGUAGGCGGGCCAGCCAGUCUGUGGUGAAAGCCUCCAGCUUAACUGGAGAAGUGCCGUGGAUACUGCUGGCCUCGAGGAGGAUAGGGGCAUCUGGAACGGUCGGUGGAGCGGUGAAAUGCGUUGAUAUCGACCGGAACUCCGGUGGCGAAGGCGGUUCUCUGGGCAUGACCUGACGCUGAGGAGCGAAAGUGUGGGGAGCGAACAGG
This 253-nucleotide ribosomal RNA is filed under the name uncultured bacterium. RNAcentral describes it as "partial 16S ribosomal RNA". It matches the Rfam family "Bacterial small subunit ribosomal RNA", at positions 524 to 776 of the family's 1533-position model. The record is from RNAcentral.